UUUCACAACUUCAGCAAAAGCCAAGGCAGCCAACAAAGCCACAGCCACCUUGGCUGUGCUUGGGCUCUGCCUUUUGGGCAGCUCACCGGCCACUCCCCAAAAGUAGAGCAUUCUGUCCUUUCUCCUUUUAAAUCCACGUCAUCAUUUGAUCAUAAUGGAAAUCAAUCUCCUGAAGUCACCACGCAAAGGCGUAUCCAUAGCAACCACAAGAGGAAGGACACAGAAAUGAUGCUCCAGUAGCUGCAGCAACGAAAGAAACCUGUGGCUUGGAAUGGGUUCAGGGGUUGCCUCAGACGCUCCCGGGAAAGGAGGGGGACCCUCGCCGCCGCGGAGGAAUUCGGAGGCGCAACCACUCCGACCCCGGGAGAACACGGCCAGACUGAAGAGCGCAGGUCCCAGCCUGAGGGUCCCUCUGAUGGGGAAUUCCAAUUUGCAUGACUGGAGUCCAUCCUCCCAAACUGUGAUGCUGAACAGAGAAUAUCUGUACUCAUCAGGUGGAAUCCUGUGCAUUCCAAAACAUGGGGAGGAACCAAGAGGGGAAUACCUCCCCUUGAGGAAAAGAAUGCUGUUUCCUAGAGGGAGGAGGUGGUCUUCAGGCUGAGAGACUUGGAGAGGCGAUUGGGUAAAGGUAGACAGCAAGACACAUGCAGAAGAAUGAAAUUGGACCAAUGUCUUAUACCAUACACAAAAAUAGACUCAAAAUGGAUGAAAGACAAAAAGACCUAAAUGUGAGACAGGAAUCCAUCAAAAUC
This is a long non-coding RNA of Ailuropoda melanoleuca (giant panda), 752 nucleotides long. RefSeq lists it as uncharacterized. The transcript is spliced from 3 exons. The record is from RefSeq and is a predicted model, not a curated record. NCBI's taxonomy places the organism in Eukaryota, Metazoa, Chordata, Mammalia, Carnivora, Ursidae.